RNAcentral lists this ribosomal RNA (492 nucleotides) under uncultured bacterium. RNAcentral describes it as "partial 16S ribosomal RNA". It matches the Rfam family "Bacterial small subunit ribosomal RNA", at positions 29 to 507 of the family's 1533-position model. The record is from RNAcentral.
AGUGAACGCUGGCGGUAGGCCUAACACAUGCAAGUCGAACGGCAGCACAGUAAGAGCUUGCUCUUACGGGUGGCGAGUGGCGGACGGGUGAGGAAUACAUCGGAAUCUACUUUUUCGUGGGGGAUAACGUAGGGAAACUUACGCUAAUACCGCAUACGACCUACGGGUGAAAGCAGGGGAUCUUCGGACCUUGCGCGAUUGAAUGAGCCGAUGUCGGAUUAGCUAGUUGGCGGGGUAAAGGCCCACCAAGGCGAGGAUCCGUAGCUGGUCUGAGAGGAUGGUCAGCCACACUGGAAGUGGGACACGGCCCAGACUCCUACGGGAGGCAGCAGUGGGGAAUAUUGGACAAUGGGCGCAAGCCUGAUCCAGCCAUACCGCGUGGGUGAAGAAGGCCUUCGGGUUGUAAAGCCCUUUUGUUGGGAAAGAAAAGCAGCAGGUUAAUACCCCGCUGUUCUGACGGUACCCAAAGAAUAAGCACCGGCUAACUUCGUG